RNAcentral lists this ribosomal RNA (429 nucleotides) under uncultured bacterium. Its description in RNAcentral is "bacterial SSU rRNA". It matches the Rfam family "Bacterial small subunit ribosomal RNA", at positions 355 to 775 of the family's 1533-position model. The record is from RNAcentral.
UGGGGAAUAUUGGGCAAUGGGCGAAAGCCUGACCCAGCGACGCCGCGUGGGUGAUGAAGGCCUUCGGGUUGUAAAACCCUUUCGUGCGGAAAGAAUAGUCCUGUAGCGAAUAACUACGGGAUUUGACGGUACCGCAGGAAGAAGCACCGGCUAACUCCGUGCCAGCAGCCGCGGUAAUACGGAGGGUGCAAGCGUUGUUCGGAAUUAUUGGGCGUAAAGGGCGCGUAGGUGGUUGUGAUAGUCAGAUGUGAAAUCCUUCGGCUCAACCGAAGAACUGCAUCUGAAACUUCAUAGCUCGAGUACAGGAGAGGGAAACGGAAUUCCCGGUGUAGAGGUGAAAAGCGUAGAUAUCGGAAGGAACACCAGUGGCGAAGGCGGUUUCCUGGCCUGAUACUGACGCUGAGGCGCGAAAGCGUGGGGAGCAAACAG